CAAUAGCGUAUAUUAAAGUUGUUGCGGUUAAAAAGCUCGUAGUUGGAUUUCUGCUGAGAACGACCGGUCCGCCCUCUGGGUGUGUAUCUGGCUCUUUCUUGGCAUCUUCUUGGUGAACGUUGCUGCACUUGACUGUGUGGAGCGCUACCCAGGACUUUUACUUUGAGGAAAUUAGAGUGUUUCAAGCAGGCAUACGCCUUGAAUACAUUAGCAUGGAAUAAUAAGAUAGGACCUCGGUUCUAUUUUGUUGGUUUCUAGAGCUGAGGUAAUGAUUAAUAGGGAUAGUUGGGGGCAUUCGUAUUUAACCGUCAGAGGUGAAAUUCUUGGAUUUGUUAAAGACCGACUACUGCGAAAGCAUUUGCCAAGAAUGUUUUCAUUGA
Molecule: ribosomal RNA, 380 nt
Filed under: uncultured eukaryote
Lineage: Eukaryota
Description: partial 18S ribosomal RNA
Rfam family: Eukaryotic small subunit ribosomal RNA
Source: RNAcentral